ACCAUCCUCCAAGGCUAAAUACUCCUGACUGACCGAUAGUGAACCAGUACCGUGAGGGAAAGGCGAAAAAGAACCCCGGCGAGGGGAGUGAAAAAGAACCUGAAACCGUGUACGUACAAGCAGUGGGAGCACCUUCGGGUGUGACUGCGUACCUUUUGUAUAAUGGGUCAGCGACUUAUAUUCUGUAGCAAGGUUAACCGUAUAGGGGAGCCGCAGGGAAACCGAGUCUUAACUGGGCGUUAAGUUGCAGGGUAUAGACCCGAAACCCGGUGAUCUAGCCAUGGGCAGGUUGAAGGUUGGGUAACACUAACUGGAGGACCGAACCGACUAAUGUUGAAAAAUUAGCGGAUGACUUGUGGCUGGGGGUGAAAGGCCAAUCAAACCGG
This 386-nucleotide ribosomal RNA is filed under the name Klebsiella pneumoniae. Its description in RNAcentral is "bacterial LSU rRNA". It matches the Rfam family "Bacterial large subunit ribosomal RNA", at positions 452 to 841 of the family's 2925-position model. The record is from RNAcentral. Lineage: Bacteria; Pseudomonadati; Pseudomonadota; Gammaproteobacteria; Enterobacterales; Enterobacteriaceae.